This 451-nucleotide ribosomal RNA is filed under the name uncultured Anaerolineaceae bacterium. RNAcentral describes it as "bacterial SSU rRNA". It matches the Rfam family "Bacterial small subunit ribosomal RNA", at positions 920 to 1382 of the family's 1533-position model. Lineage: Bacteria; Bacillati; Chloroflexota; Anaerolineae; Anaerolineales; Anaerolineaceae. The record is from RNAcentral.
CCCGGCACGAAGCGGUGGAGCAUGUGGUUUAACUCGACGCAACGCGAAGAACCUUACCUGGGCUAGACAACGGUGGACCUCCCAGAGAUGGGGAUUUCCCUUCGGGGACUGCCGGAUCAGGUGCUGCAUGGCUGUCGUCAGCUCGUGUCGUGAGAUGUUGGGUUAAGUCCGCUAACGAGCGCAACCCUCGCUGUAUGUUACAUGUGUCAUACAGGACCGCCGGUAUCAAGCCGGAGGAAGGUGGGGAUGACGUCAAGUCCACAUGGCCUUUAUGUCCGGGGCUACACACACGCUACAAUGGUCGGUACAAUGGGUUGCUAAGCCGCGAGGUGGAGCCAAUCCCCCAAAGCCGGCCUCAGUUCAGAUUGCAGGCUGCAACUCGCCUGCAUGAAGCUGGAGUUGCUAGUAAACGCGCGUCAGCUAUAGUGCGUUGAAUACGUUCUCGGGCCUU